Molecule: signal recognition particle RNA, 88 nt
Filed under: Chloroflexales bacterium
Lineage: Bacteria; Bacillati; Chloroflexota; Chloroflexia; Chloroflexales
Description: signal recognition particle sRNA small type
Rfam family: Bacterial small signal recognition particle RNA
About the family: The signal recognition particle (SRP) is a universally conserved ribonucleoprotein involved in the co-translational targeting of proteins to membranes. Archaeal SRP consists of a 7S RNA and homologues of the eukaryotic SRP19 and SRP54 proteins.
Source: RNAcentral
CAUCGGGAAUGGCGUGAUACUUGUCGAACCCCGCUAGGACCGAAAGGUAGCAACGGUAGGUGAGUUCCUCCGGGUGUUCCCGGUGCAU